Molecule: ribosomal RNA, 468 nt
Filed under: uncultured bacterium
Lineage: Bacteria
Description: partial 16S ribosomal RNA
Rfam family: Bacterial small subunit ribosomal RNA
Source: RNAcentral
GACGAACGCUGGCGGCGUGCUUAACACAUGCAAGUCGAACGGAAAGGCCCUGCUUUUGUGGGGUGCUCGAGUGGCGAACGGGUGAGUAACACGUGAGUAACCUGCCCUUGACUUUGGGAUAUCUUCAGGAAACUGGGGCUACUACCGGAUAGGAGCUCCUGCUGCAUGGUGGGGGUUGGAAAGUUUCGGCGGUUGGGGAUGGACUCGCGGCUUAUCAGCUUGUUGGUGGGGUAGUGGCUUACCAAGGCUUUGACGGGUAGCCGGCCUGGGAGGGGGGCCGGCCACAAUGGGACUGAGGGACGGAGCAGACGGGUACGGUGGGCAGCAGUGGGAAAUAUGGCACAAUGGGCGGAAGCCUGAGGCAGCAACGCCGCGUGCGGGAUGACGGCCUUCGGGUUGUAAACCGCUUUCGCCUGUGACGAAGCGGGAGUGACGGUAAUGGGUGAAGAAGCACCGGCUAACUACGUG